RNAcentral lists this ribosomal RNA (414 nucleotides) under uncultured bacterium. RNAcentral's name for it is "bacterial SSU rRNA". It matches the Rfam family "Bacterial small subunit ribosomal RNA", at positions 28 to 437 of the family's 1533-position model. The record is from RNAcentral.
GAUGAACGCUAGCGGCAGGCUUAAUACAUGCAAGUCGAGGGGCAGCGCGGGUAGCAAUACCUGGCGGCGACCGGCAAACGGGUGCGGAACACGUACAGAACCUUCCUUUAAGCGGGGGAUAGCCCAUAGAAAUGUGGAUUAAUACCCCAUAGUAAUACUAGCUGGCAUCAGUUGGUAUUUAAAGAUUUAUCACUUAAAGAUGGCUGUGCGGCUGAUUAGGUAGUUGGUCGGGGUAACGGCCCACCAAGCCAUCGAUCAGUAACUGGUGUGAGAGCACGACCAGUCACACGGGCACUGAGACACGGGCCCGACUCCUACGGGAGGCAGCAGUAAGGAAUAUUGGUCAAUGGACGCGAGUCUGAACCAGCCAUGCCGCGUGAAGGAUGAAGGCCCUCUGGGUUGUAAACUUCUUUU